AUCCUUUUGUGGACCAUGAGCGUGAUGACUGAGCAUUCAUGCUGUUGUGAGAUGUGUCUCUCCCAAACCUUGUUACCUCCUCAGCACAUUACCUGUCUGAUG
This 102-nucleotide small nucleolar RNA is filed under the name Zalophus californianus (California sea lion). RNAcentral describes it as "Small nucleolar RNA U13 (ENSZCAG00015010856.1)". It matches the Rfam family "Small nucleolar RNA U13". The record is from RNAcentral. RNAcentral also lists the same sequence under 1 other name. Lineage: Eukaryota; Metazoa; Chordata; Mammalia; Carnivora; Otariidae.